CGGGACGUGGCGCAGCCCGGUAGCGCACACCCUUGGGGUGGGUGGGGUCGCGGGUUCGAAUCCCGCCGUCCCGA
This 74-nucleotide transfer RNA is filed under the name Omnitrophica bacterium RIFCSPLOWO2_12_FULL_50_11. RNAcentral's name for it is "tRNA-Pro". It matches the Rfam family "tRNA". Rfam says of the family: Transfer RNA (tRNA) molecules are approximately 80 nucleotides in length. Lineage: Bacteria; Pseudomonadati; Candidatus Omnitrophota. The record is from RNAcentral.